GGACGACUUUCAGGGGAGAGCUGGAAGAAAGACUGUCAACAGCUGAGUGCGGGCGCCGGCGCCGUCUACGCAGUGCGUUCCACCGGGUCCGUAUCCCUCCCGAUUCCGCCCCACCCCGCCCUCGGAACUCGCUGCCUCAACUCCUGCGGUGGGACUCCGGAGCAGCGUACACCGCCCUUGCCUUAGUCCUCCCCAAGGCCAGGGCAGCUGUGCGGCCUGGCGCGGGUUACUUGGUGUGGUGCAAAAAGCCAGAAGGAGACACAUUUGGUCCUGGCCACCCCGGAGUCACCCAAACCAAAAGGAUAAUGAAUUGGAAAAGAUCACAAGGAGGUUCACCAUGGAGCUAGCAAAGAAGGGCUUUAUUGUGUGGCCACAUAGAUUUUGGUAUAAAGUGGGAACAUCUAAAAAAAUCUUUUUUUUUUUUUUUUGAGACAGAGUCUUGCUCUGUCGCCAAGAUUGGAGUGUAGUGGUGCGAUCUCCUCCACCUCCCGGGUUCAAGCAAUUCUCUUGUCUAAGCCUCCCGAGUAGCUGAGACUAUAGGCAUGUGCCACCAUGCCCAGCUAAUUUUCGUAUUUUUAUAGAGAUGGGGUUUUGCCAUGUUGAUCAGGCUGGUCUUGAACUCUUGACCUCAGGUGAUCCACCCAUCUCAGAAUCCCAAAGUGCUGGGAUUACAGGCGUGAGCCACUAUGCCCGGCCUCCUACUAUUUGUAAUAGGAGAUAGGGUCAGAUAAGGGAAUAAAAGCAGGCUGCCCCAGCCAGGGGCAGCAACCAGCUCAGGUCCCCUUCCACACUGUGGAGGCUUUGUUUUUUUGCGCUUUGCAAUAAAUCUUGCUGCUGCUCACUC
This is a long non-coding RNA of Homo sapiens (human), 844 nucleotides long. Ensembl annotates it as glutamate dehydrogenase 1 pseudogene 3. Its record names the gene GLUD1P3. NCBI's taxonomy places the organism in Eukaryota, Metazoa, Chordata, Mammalia, Primates, Hominidae. The record is from Ensembl.